GCUAUUCGGUGUGGAAAUUUCAAGACUUCAGCGAAAAGAAAAAUAUUUAAAAAAUACAAAAACAACUGCAAAACGGCAAAUUUUCGGUAAUUAUGUUUGUAAUUUUUCAAAAUUUCCCUUUUAGCUAAAGUCUUGAAAUUUCUACACCAAAUAGCGUUUUUCAAUAGCUUCAAUUUGAUAUAUAGCCCAACGUUCAGUGUUGAGUAUUUCUGCUCAUAACUCAGAAAAACUAAAAUGCACUGGCUUCAAUUUCCCCCCCUGAGUUAGCCUUCCAGUUUAUUUAUAGUUCAAUGG
Molecule: non-coding RNA, 294 nt
Organism: Paramuricea clavata
Lineage: Eukaryota; Metazoa; Cnidaria; Anthozoa; Malacalcyonacea; Plexauridae
Source: the annotation of a GenBank genome assembly